Athene cunicularia (burrowing owl) is the source of this 5097-nucleotide RNA transcript. It is a transcript of the gene named PEAK1 related, kinase-activating pseudokinase 1, with no coding region annotated. The record is from RefSeq and is a predicted model, not a curated record. Lineage: Eukaryota; Metazoa; Chordata; Aves; Strigiformes; Strigidae. The transcript is spliced from 7 exons.
GCAAACUUUGGGUGCUGCCGGGCGCUGCUUGCUAGAUCUGACUGGAAACAAAGAAUAAUUUUUUUUUAAAGAUAUUUUUCUUGAAAACAAUGUUAACCUCGUUGAAGGUAUUGGGAUACCUAUGUGAUCUUUAGGAGUGGCUUUGAGGAGCAAAUGCAAAAUGAGCAGCGGAGGACAGUGCAGAAGACGCAGAGGGCUCUCAGUCUGAGCCACGAGGAUUUGAAGAUGUCUGUGUGCAGUGACUUUGUGGAACACAUUUGGAAGCCCGGCUCCUGCAAAAACUGCUUCAACCCAAAGACUUCUCAUCAGCUGCAAACACCCCCAGACGUGGGAGCUUGUAGUGUGCUCCCGAAUGGAGUUAGGACCAAGCCCGAGAGCCCCGCAUUGGAAGAUGAAGUUGUAAAUACUUCCCCUUUCUCAAAGCCAACAAUUGCUGUGAGGCCAACUAUGAUAAACUCAGAUGUUUCUGACACGUGGGCGGAUGUGAAUAUGAAUGCAGAUCUGUCACAGGUUAGCUGGGGCAUGGUUACUGGCAAACAACUCCUUCUGAAAUCAGGAGAUGCACAGCGGAUCUGCCUUGACAAUUUUGGCGGUGGUGGUGUGAGAAAGCCCUUCCUUCACAAACCGCCCAGCGACUGCUUGUCUUGCUGUCCUCCUAGCUACUCCAUGGUGGGACUGCGCAGCCUGGAGAGCCGAGUGGAGAGAAAUGUCUCCAUCCACAGCCUGGUGCUUGUGGGUGAGGUGGGCAAGCAGGAGGACAGAGCCAAAGACAAGUUUGCUCUGCCGCAUUGGGCCCCCUGCCCUAAUCCCUCCACCUUGGAGGACAGAAUCACCAGCAGAAACCCUCCUUCCCAAGCCAGAGAAGGAGCAGCGCUCCCCUCGGAGGGCGACUGUGGUCACGUCUCCUCAGGGUUUGAAAGUGAAGGAGGCGAGUACUGUUCAAUCACGGACUGCUGCAGAGAGCACCCCGUCUCGUGGGAGCUGCACUGCACAGAGGGGAAGGGUGCCAAGAAGGAGAGCCCUGCUCCCUGUGGAUGGAGGCAGCGGGAUACUCCAGAGAUUCCUAGGCCAAGCGGAAGGGUGGUCAAGUUCAGCGAAGAGGAGUGCAGAGCUGUGAAUGUGGCCUUCUGCAUCACAAAAGACCAGGGUGAUCCUCUCCCCUACGCCCUGUGUUCAGAGAGAAAAAAGCUGGCUCUCCACACCGAGGCUGCUGCUCUCUCUGAGAGCACGGGGAGCAGCAAGGUGGCUGCCUUUGCUUUGUCCCCGGAGGAUGAGGACUUGCCUGUCCCUGGAGAGCUCUCUAUCACCGGAGGCCCCUGGCCUGAGGGUUCGAGCACCCCUCAGCAGGCUCUGGUGGAGCCACAGCGCCCUCGCCUUGCAGAGCCAGCCCGCGGUGAUCCCAUCUAUGCCGAGAGCACCAAGAGGAAGAAGGCACAGCUGAAGGCUGUCAGCAGACAAACAAAAGUGGAGAAGGUGGCCCGCAGCACUGGCAAGGAGCAAGCCGAUGGGAUGUGGAAGGAUGGCAGCUGGGCUUUGAGUGGUGAGAAGGAAUACCAAGACUCCACUGGCCAGGUGGCUGCAAAGAUAACUAUAAUGACAGCACACACUGAGGAUGAUCACAAGACAAUAUUCCUCAGCAGCCCUGACUCAGCGGUGGGAGUUCAGUGGCCAUGUAUCAGCCCCAUUGCCCACCCCGAUUUUGGGACUUCAUCACCUGCCAUUGAGCCUGGAGAAAUUUUUCAAGCAUCUGGAAGUGAAAACAGCCCAAGGUUUCAUCUGACAGCUCCUUCCAAGACCUCAGUUACUGAGAGUCCAGCCAUUCCCCCAAAGAUGUCCAAAAACAGCCAGCUGGGCAGCGAGGGGAACCGUGUUCCACCGCCAAGCUCCCAUGUGGCAAGGUUUGGUGAUGACAACAGCCACGAUGGAGCUGGUGUUCAGCUGCUGCCGAGGAGCUAUAGUGAUACAGGCGCCUUUGGGGCGUCCCCUUCUCCAUGCACUCAUGUCAAUGGGGUCUCUGUGGAGGAGUCCAGCAGAGGUUUGGCAGGCUCGUCCUAUGACAGGAGGCAGAAAUACUACACCCCAGCGUGGACCAAGCAGUGCCGGAUAGAGGAAGAGGAGGAGCAGGAGGAGGAGCAGGAGCUUUUAACCCACCCAUGGGCAGUGGGAGCUGAGAAUGGAAAAGCUGGUGCUGACCUUGUGGAUGACAGCCUGAUGCUGGAGAGCCAGACUGGGAUCAGCAAAUCAUCGUCCUUCUCCUUUGAUUUCCCUAAAGACAAGAGUAAUGGUGUGGAGUUUGCACCACCGCCACCACCACCAAAAAAGCAGUCCAGGAAUGCUCUGAAAAUGAACCCGAAUAAUGCUGAGUUGGAGAGGGUCAGCAACAGUUCUGCCGAGAGCCUCAGCCCACCUUUCAGGAGCGUCCAUGUCAGCUUCACGGCUGGCUCUACUGACAGCCUCGACUCAGACACACAGACUGGCAGUGAUGGCAGGCGCUCGUCUGAGCCGAACCACUCACCCCCUCCAGCUGAGAGCCAAGUGUUUCCCCCUGUCCCUUUCCUUCCAGCCUCUGGUGAGGAUGGUCCCUCCUCUGCCCCCAGCUGCCCACCCCCUCUGCCCCAGAAGAAGACAGUGAGCAGAACAGUGUCCUCCCCAGAUGGCUUUUUUGGGGGACAGGCAUCUUCAGGCAGAGCAGCUGGUGCUGCCAGCCCCAGACUGAAUGUCAGCCACUCUGAGAGCAAUGUCUGCCUCCAAGAGGAGCCUCCCUUCAUCCACCCGGCUGGCCUGGGGGGCCGCCCUGGCACCUUCUCCUCCUCUGAGUCCCUGGAGAAAGGCUCCAAAGGAAAUGGCUACUGGGGCUCAGCCACUGGCAAAAGCACAGGGGCUUGCAUCCCCAGCAGAAACCUCCAGUCCCUUUCCUCCUCACAGCUCAGUGUGUCCAGCCAGGUGUCAUCAGGCUCCACCCUCCAGCUCCACAACCUCCUGAGCAACAUUGACAGCAAGGAGGGGGUGUACGCCAAGUUGGGGGCCCUCUACGCCGAGUCCUUGCGCCGCCUGGUUGCCAAAUGUGAGGACUGCUUCAUGCGGGAGCAGAAGAAUGAGCUGCACUUCAGUGAGAACAACUGGUCGCUCUUCAAGCUGGCAUGCAACAAGCCCUGUUGUGAUUCAGGGGAUGCGAUAUAUUACUGUGCCACCUGCUCCAAGGACCCUUCUACCACCUAUGCUGUGAAGAUCUGUAAAACGCAGGAGUCCAAGGUGGCUGCUUCAUACUGCAGCCCUGCAGUGCCAGUCCAUUUCAACAUCCAGCAGGACUGUGGGCAUUUUGUGGCCUCUGUACCCUCCAGCAUGCUGCUGGCCUCAGAUGUGGGGAAAAGCAUGCCUGGGGAUGGCCUCCAUCCCUCCCGCACUGCCAGUGAGCAUGACUGUGUGGUGGUCAUUACCCGGGAGGUGCCGAGCCAGACCACUGCCGACUUUGUGAGGGACUCAGUGGUGUUGCACCAAGCCAAGCCUGAGCUGUACGAACGUCGCGUUUGCUUCUUGCUCCUCCAGCUCUGCAAUGGCCUGGAGCAUCUCAAAGAGCAUGGCAUCAUCCAUCGUGACCUGUGCCUGGAGAACCUCCUGCUUGUCCCCUGCAAGCCCCCCAUGAGCUGUGUGAAAGCCAAAGAUGACAAACACUUACCCCGCCUCAUCAUCAGCAAUUUUUUGAAAGCCAAACAGAAGCCGGGAACUGGAGACUCCAAACUGAAGAAGAGUCAGGCCCGGCUGGCCCCAGAGAUUGUGUCAGCUUCUCAGUACAAGAAGUUUGACGAGUUUCAGACUGGUAUUCUCAUCUACGAGCUGCUGCACCAGCCCAACCCCUUCGAGGAGAAGGUGCACCUCAGGGAGCAGGAGUACAGUCCUGAGGACCUCCCUGCUCUGCCCAGCCUGUCCAUCUACUCCCGGGGGCUCCAGCAGCUGGCCCACCUGCUGCUAGAGGCAGAUCCCAUCAAGCGUGUGCGGAUCACUGAGGCCAAGCGGAUGCUGCAGUGUCUACUUUGGGGGCCCCGGAAAGACCUCACCGAGCAGCCCCUCAGCCAUGAGGAAGCCCUCCGCCGGGUGCUUCAGAACUGGGUGGACAUGAAGCGUGCCCUGCUCAUGAUGAAGUUCGCAGAGAGGGCUGUGGACACAGAGCGGAGCAUUGAACUGGAGGACUGGCUGUGCUGCCAGUACUUAGCGUCUGCUGAGCCAGCCUCCCUCUCACACACAUUAAAACUGCUGCAGCUGCUCUGACCUUGGAUGUGUCUCGGACGCAGCUGAGGGCUCCUGGUUGCCUUGUGGCUAAAGGUGGCAGGAACCUUGGCUUGGGAACCACUGUCCCAUGGACCAUCCUGGAUACAUCGUCCUGGAAAGCCUGGCCCUGAUGCAAUUGCUUUCACAUGAGCCAGCGGAGUGAUGAAACAGCUGGAAAACCUGCCUGAAGGAGCCCAGCAUGUUUUUCAGAGAUAAGAUGAAGAGAUGACUCAGUUUAUAAGCAUGGAUAUAGGGAACAGUUGGGGGCAGCUCUGCAGGACAGCACUGAAGGAGUUAGGGCCUGGCCAUGACAAAUCCAAGCUGUGCUUGGCAACAGGGAGAUUAUAUGUGGGGCAAAAUGGCUUGCAAGGCUUGGGCUGGUACCCAGUGGGAGUCAAGAAGUAGCCAAACAUCCAACCAACCCACAAAACCCAAGGCUGGAUCCAUUUUGCAUGCUGAGUUUCAGUUUAGUGACAAACACUGAUACAGGUGGUGUUGCAGGGCCUGCACAGUGUGGGAUGUUAAGCUGAUCAAAAUUUUUCCCUUGAGUCUGGGCACUUAAGACUGCCUCUGGUGUUGGUCCUGGUAACCUGCAACAGCAUGCCCAGCAGAGUAAAGGCCAACAAUAGUAUUGUAGCAUUUUCAGCUGUAUUAUUUUGAGAUUUGGUGGGUGGUUUAUUACUCUCAUAUAAACAGAAACUCUUAGCUCCAAGCUUUCCUGAUACCUUCUCCUAUGGUAGCUCAUGCUGCUUCUCCAGCCUAAAUAGUCCUAGGUCAGUGCAUGAACUGGAGAAGUACAUUAGGGUUUCUGCUGUGUAUCUUUGUGGGGAA